Molecule: long non-coding RNA, 1118 nt
Organism: Pecten maximus
Lineage: Eukaryota; Metazoa; Mollusca; Bivalvia; Pectinida; Pectinidae
Exons: 4
Source: RefSeq, a predicted model, not a curated record
AAAAAUUCUUAUUGAAGUUUUGGCGAUAUAUAACCCCUAGAAUUAAAAAAUAAUAAUUUUCUGGGGAAUCCUCUCACUGUCGAAUGACGAGAUAAAAUGCAAAUUUCCCGCUUUGGGCGCAUGCGCAAGAAUCUAGGUUAGUAGAACGUAAACAUAUAUCGGCAGAAACAUGGCUUCCGAAGCCAAGAGAUGUCGGCCUAGAAUUGAAACGAGUUCGGCAACAAAGCGACGUAAACAGAAAUGGUCACAGGACAACCCGGUUAUAUGACUGGGGAAACAACACACUAGUUGGAAGACAUUCAAUGAAGAAAAUAGUUUCUCUACAAACGAGCAUGCAGCACGGAUUCUUCUGGAUAAGUGUGCACUUCAGUGACACAAAAAGUUCAUGCAGGUGAAGACAUCCCCACACCAGCUGGAACUUCUAUGGGACCGCCAUCACAUGUGUGCACCCCUACACCAGUAACAUCUACGCCUACACACGCCCAUAAAGAACCUAUAGCUAUAGAUAGACCUCCGAUGUCUCAGAUAUAGAAGCUCAGUCAUCACACUCGUCUGAUUUAUCUUGUGUGGAAGCAUUACAAUCAGACUCCGAGAGUAACAUUAAUGCCAGCUUGCUUUCCCAUUACCAACAGAAGGCUAAAGAGGAUGACACCUCAUUUAUUGAUAUACCUCAGACACAUCAACCUGAACACUUGCCAAUGGCUGAAGAUCCCAUAGAAAUGGAAGAGGUUGAUGUUGAUGAUGAGCUUACAGAGGAUGAAGGAGACAUUGUGGAAACAGACACUCAAAAGGAUAGUGUUGAAGAAAGGAAAUCAAUAUGCUUCCAAAGUGCCUUGUUGUAACUCACGUCAGUUCAAAUACCCACAACUUGUCAAAGAAAAGCAUGUGGUGCAAAUAUCAUUGUCCAGUGCAGAUAUGUUGAAAUGAAUUGGAGGGAGCAGCAUUUGGUACUAGUCCUGGAUCCUCUGGAUCUUGUGGAUCCUCUGGUUCACCUGCAUUUUCGCAAAGGUCAAAAACUAGGCCUGGCUGACGAUACACUAGCUGAAGAACUAAAUUUAUCAGUGGCUUUAGGUCCAUCCUUCUGAUUAUAUCCUAAUACAUAAAACAAUAAUUAUAGA